UCAACCCGUGUACCCACUUCCCCUAUACCCAUUUCCUCAACCAUUCUUCGGUCUUCCCUUUCCUCUCAGUCCCUUCAAUCUUCAAUGUUCUUCGUCUUUCCAUUCCUGGUCCGUGCGUGGUGGUCUAUCUCUCUCAGUUUCCCGUAGACUCGGUCUCUCUCUCGGUCUCUCGGUUUCAGUUCGUGGUCCGUUCGUAGCUUGCUCUUGCAGGUCAGCCCUCUUGCAUGUCUUCCCGUAGCUUGUUUUGUUUUUGUUAUUGCAGUGUGGGUUUUGUGUAGAUUGUUUCUCUGUUUUAUCGGACAUUUGUUUCUAAUCUGCAUUUCUUCUGGCAUUUCUUCAGUCUUGCCUAACCCGUAGCUUGCUCUUGCAGGUCAGCCCUCUCUUUGUACCAAGUUCUCCUUUGCUCUAUCAAUGGAGGAGCCUCUUCUAUUAUGAGAAAUACCUCAAACCCAUCAGCUGUUUCACUCAUUCUCAGGUUGGGGAUCGAAUUGGCAAGGCGCAUUGCAAAGGUAAUUUGCAAGAGUUGUUAAACCCAGACAAAAAACAAGAUUUUAGUAAGAGAACAACAUCAAAUACAAAUUCAUUGGAGAUGGAUAAAAGUUGGAUCCAUCUUAACAGAGUAACGGUGGAAUAUGAGCAAAAAGCUAGAGAGUUUGU
This is a long non-coding RNA of Humulus lupulus (European hop), 657 nucleotides long. RefSeq lists it as uncharacterized. NCBI's taxonomy places the organism in Eukaryota, Viridiplantae, Streptophyta, Magnoliopsida, Rosales, Cannabaceae. The transcript has 4 exons. The record is from RefSeq and is a predicted model, not a curated record.